UGGGGAAUUUUGGACAAUGGGCGAAAGCCUGAUCCAGCAAUGCCGCGUGUGUGAAGAAGGCCUUCGGGUUGUAAAGCACUUUUGUCCGGAAAGAAAUCCUUGGCUCUAGUACAGUCGGGGGAUGACGGUACCGGAAGAAUAAGCACCGGCUAACUACGUGCCAGCGGCCGCGGUAAUACGUAGGGUGCAAGCGUUAAUCGGAAUUACUGGGCGUAAAGCGUGCGCAGGCGGUUUGCUAAGACCGAUGUGAAAUCCCCGGGCUCAACCUGGGAACUGCAUUGGUGACUGGCAGGCUAGAGUAUGGCAGAGGGGGGUAGAAUUCCACGUGUAGCAGUGAAAUGCGUAGAGAUGUGGAGGAAUACCGAUGGCGAAGGCAGCCCCCUGGGCCAAAUACUGACGCUCAUGCACGAAAAGCGUGGGGAGCAAAACAGGAUUAGAUACCCUGGUAGUCCACGCCCUAAAACGAUGUCAACUAGUUGUUGGGGAUUCAUUUCCUUAGUAACGUAGCUAAACGCGUGAAGUUGACCGCCUGGGGAGUACGGUCGCAAAGAUUAAAAACUCAAAUGAAUUGACGGGGUCAUAGCUGUUUCCU
This 592-nucleotide ribosomal RNA is filed under the name uncultured bacterium. RNAcentral describes it as "partial 16S ribosomal RNA". It matches the Rfam family "Bacterial small subunit ribosomal RNA", at positions 355 to 1375 of the family's 1533-position model. The record is from RNAcentral.